Molecule: ribosomal RNA, 305 nt
Filed under: uncultured bacterium
Lineage: Bacteria
Description: bacterial SSU rRNA
Rfam family: Bacterial small subunit ribosomal RNA
Source: RNAcentral
UUCCUACGGGGGGCAUCAGUGGGGGAUAUUGCACAAUGUUUUAAACCCUGAUGCAGCGACGCCGCGUGUAGGAAGACGGUCCUCUGGAUUGUAAACUACUGUCCCCAGGGACGAAGAUGACGGUACCUGGGGAGGAAGCUCCGGCUAACUACGUGCCAGCAGCCGCGGUAAUACGUAGGGAGCGAGCGUUGUCCGGAAUUACUGGGUGUAAAGGGAGCGUAGGCGGGGAUGCAAGUUGGGUGUUAAAUCUACCGGCUCAACUGGUAGUCGCACUCAAAAAUGCAGCUCUUGAGUGAAGUAGAGGC